AAACUUCUGACGUCACGCAUCCCAUGAUUGAUAUAUUCGAACAGCAUUGACGUUCAGGUAGGGUAUAUUAUCUACCCAGCAAUUUCGGACAGAAUGAAAAUCGCAGGUUAUGACUAUGCCAUGUCCAUAAACAAACCAAUUUUUACAACUUCGUACACGAAUAAAGAUUCACCAUGCCAAAUAACUUUCUUCCCAGA
Molecule: long non-coding RNA, 197 nt
Organism: Ruditapes philippinarum (Manila clam)
Lineage: Eukaryota; Metazoa; Mollusca; Bivalvia; Venerida; Veneridae
Exons: 3
Source: RefSeq, a predicted model, not a curated record